GGAUUUGUACCAAGAUCAUGCCAAGACGUUACAUAAAUCCUGCAAGAUCAUGGAAAGAUCUUGCAUGAUCUUGCAAGAUCUUUCCAAGUUCUUGCAGGAUCUUACCUACCGUGUAAGAUCUUGCAGGAUCUUGCAAGAUCUUGCCAUUAUCAUGGCAAGAUCUUGUCAUGAUCAUGGCAAGAUCUUACAAGAUGUUUGGCAAGAUCUUGCAGGAUCUUGCAAGAUCCUGCAAGAUCUUUCCAUGAUCUUGCAGGAUUUAUG
Paramuricea clavata is the source of this 261-nucleotide non-coding RNA. Lineage: Eukaryota; Metazoa; Cnidaria; Anthozoa; Malacalcyonacea; Plexauridae. The record is from the annotation of a GenBank genome assembly.